GACGAACGCUGGCGGCGUGCUUAACACAUGCAAGUCGAACGGUGAAGCGCCUUCCUUUUUGGUGGGUGUGGAUGAGUGGCGAACGGGUGAGUAACACGUGAGUAACCUGCCCCCUUCUUCUGGAUAACCGCAUGAAAGUGUGGCUAAUACGGGAUAUUCUGGGUCUGUCGCAUGAUGGGUCUGGGAAAGAUAUUGUUUCGGUGGGGGAUGGGCUCGCGGCCUAUCAGCUUGUUGGUGGGGUGAUGGCCUACCAAGGCGGUGACGGGUAGCCGGCCUGAGAGGGUGGACGGUCACACUGGGACUGAGACACGGCCAAGACUCCUACGGGAGGCAGCAGUGGGGAAUAGGGCACAAUGGGCGCAAGCAUGAUGCAGCGACGCCGCGGGAGGGAUGGAGGCCUUCGGGUUGUGAACCUCUUUCGCCAGUGAAGCAGGCCUGCCUCGUUUGUGGGUGGGUUGACGGUAGCUGGAUAAGAAGCGCCGGCUAACUACGUG
Molecule: ribosomal RNA, 494 nt
Filed under: uncultured bacterium
Lineage: Bacteria
Description: partial 16S ribosomal RNA
Rfam family: Bacterial small subunit ribosomal RNA
Source: RNAcentral